CGGGGAGAGCUCAAAUUUGAAAUCUGGCGUCCUCAGGGCGUCCGAGUUGUAAUCUAUAGAGGCGUUUUCCGUGCCGGACCGUGUCCAAGUUCCUUGGAACAGGAUAUCAAAGAGGGUGACAAUCCCGUACUUGACACGACGACCGGUGCUCUGUGAUACGUCUUCUACGAGUCGAGUUGUUUGGGAAUGCAGCUCAAAAUGGGUGGUGAGUUCCAUCUAAAGCUAAAUAUUGGCGAGAGACCGAUAGCGAACAAGUACCGUGAGGGAAAGAUGAAAAGCACUUUGGAAAGAGAGUUAAACAGUACGUGAAAUUGUUGAAAGGGAAACGAUUGAAGUCAGUCGUGACCGAGAGGCUCAGCCGGUUCUGCCGGUGUAUUCCCCUCGGUCGGGUCAACAUCAGUUUUGUCCGGUGGAUAAGGACGGUAGGAAGGUGGCACCCUCGGGUGUGUUAUAGCCUGCCGUCGCAUACAUCGGGUGAGACUGAGGAACGCAGCUCGCCUUUAUGGCCGGGGUUCGCCCACGUCCGAGCUUAGGAUGUUGACAUAAUGGCUUUAAACGACCCGUCUUGAAACACG
RNAcentral lists this ribosomal RNA (575 nucleotides) under Papiliotrema laurentii. RNAcentral's name for it is "eukaryotic LSU rRNA". It matches the Rfam family "Eukaryotic large subunit ribosomal RNA", at positions 99 to 663 of the family's 3401-position model. Lineage: Eukaryota; Fungi; Basidiomycota; Tremellomycetes; Tremellales; Rhynchogastremaceae. The record is from RNAcentral.